RNAcentral lists this transfer RNA (98 nucleotides) under Ampelomyces quisqualis. RNAcentral describes it as "tRNA-Val". The record is from RNAcentral. Lineage: Eukaryota; Fungi; Ascomycota; Dothideomycetes; Pleosporales; Phaeosphaeriaceae.
GGCUCGGUGGUGUAGUUGGUUAUCACGUCAGUCUAACAAGAGCGCAAGACAAGCCCUCGGAUCACUGAAGGUCCCGAGUUCAAACCUCGGCUGAGUCA